Molecule: ribosomal RNA, 429 nt
Filed under: uncultured Gammaproteobacteria bacterium
Lineage: Bacteria; Pseudomonadati; Pseudomonadota; Gammaproteobacteria
Description: bacterial SSU rRNA
Rfam family: Bacterial small subunit ribosomal RNA
Source: RNAcentral
GCUUGCUCUUAUGGGUGGCGAGUGGCGGACGGGUGAGGAAUACAUCGGAAUCUACCUUUUCGUGGGGGAUAACGUAGGGAAACUUACGCUAAUACCGCAUACGACCUUCGGGUGAAAGCAGGGGACCUUCGGGCCUUGCGCGGAUAGAUGAGCCGAUGUCGGAUUAGCUAGUUGGCGGGGUAAAGGCCCACCAAGGCGACGAUCCGUAGCUGGUCCGAGAGGAUGAUCAGCCACACUGGAACUGAGACACGGUCCAGACUCCUACGGGAGGCAGCAGUGGGGGAUAUUGGACAAUGGGCGCAAGCCUGAUCCAGCCAUACCGCGUGGGUGAAGAAGGCCUUCGGGUUGUAAAGCCCUUUUGUUGGGAAAGAAAAGCAGUCGAUUAAUACUCGGUUGUUCUGACGGUACCCAAAGAAUAAGCACCGGCUU